GACGAACGCUGGCGGCGUGCUUAACACAUGCAAGUCGAACGGAAAGGCCCUGCCUUUGUGGGGUGCUCGAGUGGCGAACGGGUGAGUAACACGUGAGUAACCUGCCCUUGACUUUGGGAUAACUUCAGGAAACUGGGGCUAAUACCGGAUAGGAGCUCCUGCUGCUUGGUGGGGGUUGGAAAGUUUCGGCGGUUGGGGAUGGACUCGCGGCUUAUCAGCUUGUUGGUGGGGUAGUGGCUUACCAAGGCUUUGACGGGUAGCCGGCCUGAGAGGGUGACCGGCCACAUUGGGACUGAGAUGCGGCCCAGACUCGUACGGGAGGCAGCAGUGGGGAAUAGUGCACAAUGGGCGGAAGCCUGAUGCAGCAACGCCGCGUGCGGGAUGACGGCCUUCGGGUUGUAAACCGCUUUCGCCUGUGACGAAGCGUGAGUGACGGUAAUGGGUAAAGAAGCACCGGCUAACUACGUG
RNAcentral lists this ribosomal RNA (468 nucleotides) under uncultured bacterium. RNAcentral's name for it is "partial 16S ribosomal RNA". It matches the Rfam family "Bacterial small subunit ribosomal RNA", at positions 28 to 507 of the family's 1533-position model. The record is from RNAcentral.